This 551-nucleotide ribosomal RNA is filed under the name uncultured archaeon. RNAcentral describes it as "bacterial SSU rRNA". It matches the Rfam family "Archaeal small subunit ribosomal RNA", at positions 1 to 552 of the family's 1478-position model. The record is from RNAcentral.
UUCCGGUUGAUCUUGCCGGAGGUUACUGCUUUCGGUGUUCGACUAAGCCAUGCAAGUCAUAUGUUCCUCGUGAACAUGGCAUACUGCUCAGUAACACGUGGAUAACCUGCCCUUGGGUCUGGGAUAACCCCGGGAAACUGGGGAUAAUACCGGAUAACGCAUAUGUGCUGGAAUGCUUUAUGCGUAAAAUGGAUUCGUCCGCCCAAGGAUGGGUCUGCGGCCUAUCAGGUAGUAGUGGGUGUAAUGUACCUACUAACCAACAACGGGUACGGGUUGUGAGAGCAAGAGCCCGGAGAUGGAUUCUGAGACAUGAAUCCAGGCCCUACGGGGCGCAGCAGGCGCGAAAACUUUACAAUGCGGGAAACCGUGAUAAGGGAACACCGAGUGCCAGCAUCAUAUGCUGGCUGUCCAGAUGUGUAAACUACAUCUGUUAUCAAGGGCCGGGCAAGACCGGUGCCAGCCGCCGCGGUAACACCGGCGGCCCGAGUGGUGACCGAUAUUAUUGGGGCUAAAGGGUCCGUAACCGGUUUGGUCACUCCUCCGGGAAAACA